This 330-nucleotide unclassified non-coding RNA is filed under the name soil metagenome. RNAcentral's name for it is "partial contains 5.8S ribosomal RNA, internal transcribed spacer 2, and large subunit ribosomal RNA". The stretch from base 1 to 121 matches the Rfam family "5.8S ribosomal RNA", at positions 35 to 154 of the family's 154-position model. The record is from RNAcentral.
GAUGAAGAACGCAGCGAAAUGCGAUAAGUAAUGCGAAUUGCAGAAUUUCCGUGAGUCAUCGAAUCUUUGAACGCACAUUGCGCCCAUUGGUAUUCCGAUGGGCAUGCCUGUUCGAGCGUCAUUUCACCACUCAAGCCUGGCUUGGUGUUGGGCGACGUCCCCUUUGGGGACGCGCCUCGAAACGCUCGGCGGCGUGGCACCGGCUUUAAGCGUAGCAGAAUCUUUCGCUUUGGAAGUCGGGGCCCCGUCUGCCGGAAGACCUACUCGCAAGGUUGACCUCGGAUCAGGCAGGGAUACCCGCUGAACUUAAGCAUAUCAAUAAGCGGAGGA